UGUCUCACGCCUGCCAUUUUCCCGUCAUCAGAUUCUGGCACGCCCAGUAUGGAGGGACAGGUCCAGCAAUUCGUCACUCUCCGCUUUGGCGACCUCUGGCUAGAUGUGCCUAUUGGUCCGCUUGUGGCUGCAGUUAGCAAGAGUUUGGAAACAACAGCUGCAUCCCCAACUAAGCCAAAAGAAAAGGAAGUCUCUUCUGCACUGAAGGAAGGGUUUACUCCUGUUCUCACAAAGUCAGCAAAGAGAAGGAUGCGUGCAGCUGCAAGAGCAUCUAAG
This 276-nucleotide ribosomal RNA is filed under the name Triticum aestivum (bread wheat). RNAcentral's name for it is "partial small subunit ribosomal RNA". Lineage: Eukaryota; Viridiplantae; Streptophyta; Magnoliopsida; Poales; Poaceae. The record is from RNAcentral.